UUCCUGGUGGUCCAAUGGUUAAGACUCUACACUCCCAAUGCAGGGGACCUGGGUUCAAUCCCUGGGUGGGAAA
RNAcentral lists this transfer RNA (73 nucleotides) under Bos taurus (domestic cattle). It matches the Rfam family "tRNA". Rfam says of the family: Transfer RNA (tRNA) molecules are approximately 80 nucleotides in length. The record is from Rfam by way of RNAcentral. Lineage: Eukaryota; Metazoa; Chordata; Mammalia; Artiodactyla; Bovidae. RNAcentral also lists the same sequence under 5 other names.